Molecule: long non-coding RNA, 1155 nt
Filed under: Monodelphis domestica (gray short-tailed opossum)
Lineage: Eukaryota; Metazoa; Chordata; Mammalia; Didelphimorphia; Didelphidae
Description: lncRNA (ENSMODG00000042549.1)
Source: RNAcentral
AUGAGCUUAUAUUUCAUUGAGAGAGAUUCCACUUGCAUUUAGUGACCAAAUAGUGAGAUUUUGCUUUGGGAAAUUACAGGAAUGGCAAGUGGAAUUGAACACCAAGCUAGAAUUGAUUAACUUGUGUUUCCAAGACUGGAAACCUGGAGAGAAGAUGGGGUGAGAGUGGAGUUUCCAGGGUGGGAGUUUCAGGAGUGAAAGGUCCUGGAUUGCUUAUUUUGUGUAUCAAAGAUGGCAGCUGCUGAAGAGUGGUCUGGGAAAGAAGGGACUCAUGGCUGUAGUCCAAUAAUUGGUGGUGCAGACAGCUGCUAUGGAAACCUUGACUCAGGACAGGUAGAUUCUUAUAGCAGGAGUCGCAGAUAGAGAACAAAAAAUCCUCCAGAGUUUAUGACAAAGUGCUUGGCAUGUAGUAAGUGACAAAAUAAAUGCUUACUGAAGAAAGAGUGUGGAAUGGGCUUCUUAGGAUAUGGUGCUCUUCCCCACAAUGGAAUCUCCAAGAAGGAUGGGAUGAUCUUUCUCACAUGAGUUUAAAAGGAGGUUAGUGUUUGGAACUGGAUCAAACUAGAUGCUUUUUCUGGUCCUUUUCUUACUUUGAGUUUCCAUGACCAUGAGGUCUCUAGGAUCCCUUCCUGUUGUGUCUUGUCAUGAGUUUCCUUCUAGUCCUAGAAUUCUCUGUCUUAAGUUCUUUUCAAACUUUGACAUUUGCAGUCUUUGACUGGGUUCUGUUUUUCUGUCUACAGGGCCUGGACUCUUCCUCUACUUCCCCUGAAAUCUCAGCUGAGAAUCCCUAUCAGAUAUUGGACAUCACCAGAGUGGACGUUUAUGAAAAGAUCACUCCCCGGAAGAACCCUUAAGUCUAAGGCAGAGGGAGAAGUCACUAGUGAUGUAGUGAUAGUCCUUCUGAUUCACUUCAUUAAGUGGAAUUGAGAGGCAUCUUUUGGGAGAGAAAGUUGAGAGAUCUAGGUCAGUGGCAAUACCAAUCAGGAGAGAGGUGUGAUGGAACUGGCAAGUAUCCCAAUGAUGUCACGGGCAGAGAGAAAGGAGCCAUAAGUAUAUGACUACAUGCAGCAGCAGUUUUUAUUUUAGUGAGAAAUUACAAACAAACUGGGCAUUCCCCAACUGGGAUAUGUCUUAAUAAAUGAAUAUCAUGGAAUU